CCCUUCAUUCCACCGGAAUCUGU
Molecule: microRNA, 23 nt
Filed under: Chrysemys picta (Painted turtle)
Lineage: Eukaryota; Metazoa; Chordata; Testudines; Emydidae
Also listed under: 2 other names
Description: cpi-miR-205b-5p
Gene: cpi-miR-205b-5p
Source: miRBase by way of RNAcentral